This 254-nucleotide ribosomal RNA is filed under the name uncultured bacterium. RNAcentral describes it as "partial 16S ribosomal RNA". It matches the Rfam family "Bacterial small subunit ribosomal RNA", at positions 524 to 776 of the family's 1533-position model. The record is from RNAcentral.
UACGAAGGGGGGCUAGCGUUGUUCGGAAUUACUGGGCGUAAAGCGAACGUAGGCGGUGUUCCAUGUCAGAGGUGAAAGCCUGGGGCUCAACUCCAGAAUUGCCUUUGAAACGGGGACGCUUGAGUCCGAGAGAGGGUGGCGGAAUUCCUAGUGUAGAGGUGAAAUUCGUAGAUAUUAGGAAGAACACCAGUGGCGAAGGCGGCCACCUGGCUCGGUACUGACGCUCAGGUUCGAAAGCGUGGGGAGCAAACAGG